GCAUGUGUUAUCACAAAGACAUCUGCCAGUUUACCACUGUUCAAGACAGUGGUUAUUAAAGUCAUGAAGAUUCUACUGGUGUGUGCUGUGCCUCUGUUCUGUGGCUCUGUCCGCAAGCGUGAACUUUCCGCAAUGGCCAACAACGGGUGGUUGUCCUCGCGUUCGUUCGCCUUAUUCCGGCAUCUGCCCUAUCAUGUGUGGACGGGAUGACCUACCAGGCUGCCCAGAAGGAACGCUGUGCUGCGGAACCAACUGCGGAGGAAGCAUGUGUGUCGUUCCGCAAAACACACCUUGAUGGACUUCGGGCACUAAAACUCUUUUACUAACAGGCAUCCUAAUAAAAGCUUAAAGUUA
This is a long non-coding RNA of Haliotis rubra (blacklip abalone), 354 nucleotides long. RefSeq lists it as uncharacterized. NCBI's taxonomy places the organism in Eukaryota, Metazoa, Mollusca, Gastropoda, Lepetellida, Haliotidae. The transcript has 5 exons. The record is from RefSeq and is a predicted model, not a curated record.